ACACACACACACACACACACACACACACACACACACACACACACACACACACACAUAUACUAUAGCAUCUUGCUUACAUUUCUUACAUUUUAGGCAUCCAGCUGAGGUCUUGUAUGGAUCAUGUUACACAGAUGGGCUCAGGGGUAUAUGUACAGUCAUUUUUAGAGUGGUGGCAAAGUAGUUGAACAGGAGAAGAGGAUGUGGUUACUUGUGGAGGGAGAACAGUGAGGGUGGUGGGUUGGGCACCUGCAGUGAAGCUGAUUGGUUGCUCUGGCUCAUCACAUCUUGACUAAAAGAAAGAGAUUUAGAAAUUAGUUCGACAUUGCCAUAGUUCAACAGCUCAAAAGCCGUCAUUAACAUACUCCCAGAGACAGCAAUAUAUUCAGUAUUCACUGAAUGAAAUAGCCUACCCAUCCCCAUUUACAAAUAUAUUCAUCAAUGAAAUAAAUUAUACUAUAGCACAUUCAAUUACAUUAUUAUUGUAAAGUAUAGAUUACUCCUGUAUUUACCUUGUACAGUAACAUAACCAUUGAAUGAAAUAGUGUACCCAUCCACAUUUGCAAUUUAAUUGAUCAAUUCUAAAAUAAUACUAGCACACAGAGUUACAUUGUUGUAGAAUAGGCUACUACGGUAUCCACACUAUAUUUGGAUGCCGUUGUGAUAUUGUCAGGCAUGAGUUUAGAUCUUCAAUCGAAGUUGCAUGUUGUACCUCGUUUUCCUUCAGUGAAAAAUAGUUAUUUAAUUUACAAUUGAAUGAAUCCAUUAAAUAAAUAAUACUAGGACAUCAAAUUCCGUUAUUGUACACUAGUCUACUCCACUAUUGACACAGUAAAUAAUAUCGCCUAUGUGCUUCGACAAUACGUUUUCAACAAAAAAUUAUAUAAAAAAACACACAUUUGCCUUAACACAGUAGACCUAAAUAUUUCCAAUUGGAUCAAGUACAUCUUGGUAAUUAUUUCAUCGUCUCUAAUGAAACUAUCUGGGACAGACCCUCGAAAAUCGCUUCUGACAGUGGUAAAAAAUCAAAUCAAAUUGAAUGUCUGUGUCGCCGCCGAGCUCUCAAAUACCGUGCCAGUCUCUCACUCCAUGAACGGUCACUGCAAUCUGGAUUCCUUGGGACGUCCUUAACCAAUUUACAUUUGUACUUGAUAGAGGUAUGGGCAUACCCAAAUAGCACGGACCCUCUGGGAAAGUCUUUGGACUGCUCUAAUUGACUGAAGGGACAUCCCAAGGAUCCCGAAUAGCACCUAUAAACUCCUCUGAAAGCCAUGGACACAACUCUUAUUGGUUGUCUGUUGUGGAACUGGUAACAACACAGUCUGUGAUUGGCUAAUAACAUUUAGAUCUGUAUACAGCGAGAUAUGAUAGCAUACCAUACCAUUGAGGGAAAGUCAGGUUUUCUAUAGAUUGGGCAUAAUCUUUUCCAGGCCAUUAACGUUUUGACGCACCCAUCCCGUUAGCGGGAUCAUUUUCGUCAACAUCCGCUGAAUUGCAGAGCGCCAAAUUCAGAUUCAAUUACUAAAGAUAUUUCAUUUUCAUUAAAUCACAAGUGCAAUAUAGCAAAACACAGCGUAGUUUGUUGUUAUCUACCUGGCGUGUCAGAUUUCAAAAAAGCUUUACAGCGAAAGCAAACCAAGCGUUUAUGUGAGGACAUCUCUCUUAGCAGACAAAACAUUAGAAACAGCUAGCAGCAAAGUAGAUUGGUCACGAAAGUCAGAAAAGCAAUAAAAUGAAUCGCUUACCUUUGAUCUUUGGAUGUUUGCACUCACGAGUCUCCCAGUUACACAAUAAAUGUUCCUUUUGUUCGAUAAAGAUCAUUUUUAUUUCCAAAAACCUCCAUUUGGUUAGCGUGUUUUGUUUAGUAAUCCACAGGCUUGUGCAGGUCAUGCAGGUGAAAAUUCCAAAUAGUAUCCGUAAAGUUCAUAGAAACAUGUCAAACCUUUUUUAUAAUAAAUCCUCAGGUUGUUUUUACAACAAAUAAUAAAUAAUAUUUCAACCAGGAGAGAGAGAGAAAAUGCCAUCCACUGACGCAAUAUGAUCAUUCACGCUCAUUUUUCAGAAUAAAAAGCUGAAACUAUGUCUAAAGACUGUUCACACCAUGUGGAAGCCAUAGGGAAAUGAAUAUGGUUGAUAUCCCUUUAAUUGGAGGGAAGGCAUGUAAUGGAACAGGGAGGUUUCAAAAUAAGAGGCACUUUCUGGUUGGAUUUUCCUCAGGUUUUUGCCUGCAAUAUCAGUUAUGUUAUACUCGCAGACAAUAUCUUGACAGUUUUGGAAACUUUAGAGUGUUUUCUAUCCUAAUUUGACAAUUAUAUGCAUAUUCUAGCUUCUGGGCUUGAGAAAUAGGUAGUUUCAUUUGGGUAUGUUUUUCAUCCAAACAUCAAAAUACUGCCCCCUACACUCAACAGGUGUGAUAACAGGAAAUACACAAGCCGUAGGCUACAGUAUAGUUCAAGAUGGCUGUAUCGGAAUGUCUGCUUGCACAGGAACAAUUGUACAUUUCUAACAUUUAUGGUUGAGAUUUAAUUAAUAUAAAUACAAACUAUGCACAUUAUGACUCAUUAACACAUGAUGUAGGUGUCAUGCAGAUGUUAGUAAGGCGUUGGUAUCAUGUCAUGUAAAGUCAGACACGUAAUGCAGGAGUCACGCAGACAUUAAUGAGGCAUUGGUGUCAUGUCAGGUGGUACGGUUACCUAAGCUUAAAUAUGUCCCUUAUCACCCCCCAUGUGUGUGUCUUAGUGUACCAAACGCUGCCGGUGGCCAGUGACAGACGUCUCCGUCACACCCGCGAUCAUGCAGUCACCACUUCAGCCUCAAACUUAACUGUCAAACCAACGUGUUUUCAUCCCUCGUUAUCUAAACCUGACGACUGGACAUUGCUCCUUCAGCUUCAUACAUCCGAAGCGGAAUCUGCCUGUGGCCAUGACCCCAUUUGGAUGUGGGGAUAGUAGAGGGAAACGAUGCCUUACUCCAAGAACUCCAGGAGCUCUUGGACAUAUCCGAUGUCCACGAUGAGACAUCACCACCACUGCUCAACGGCCUCAUAAGACUGGGAUACAAGACAGCAACUGUCCACAAAAAGGUGGAAGGAGGCAAGACCAUAUCGCAUUGAUAACUGGCUGGCAGAAGAGGAUCAUCACCCAGAUGUCAACAGUGCAGUACCAACCCAGCUGUAAUGCGCUGAAGAAAUUGCCUUCUGUGUCCCUUCUUCUGUGAGAAGCACAGCCGCGAGCUGCCCAGUGACACGAGCCUACCAGACAAGCUAAAAUACUUCAAUGCUCGCUUCGAGGCAAGCAACACUGAAGCAUGCAUGAGAGCAUCAGCUGUUCCGGAUGACUGUGUGAUCAUGCUCUCCGUAGCCGAUGUGAGUAAGACCUUUAAACAGGUCAACAUUCACAAGGCUGCAGGGCUAGACGGAUUACCAGGACGUGUACUCUGUGCAUGCGCUGACCAACUCGCAAGAGUCGUCACUGACAUUUUCAACCUGUCCACGACUGAGUCUGUAAUACCGACAUGUUUCAAGCAGACCACCAUAGUCCCUGUGCCCAAGAACACCAAGGUAACCUGCCUAAAUGACUACCGACCAGUAGCACUCACAUCUGUAGCCAUGAAAUUCUUUGAAGGGCUGGUCAUGGCUCACAUCAACACCAUUAUCCCAGAAACCUUAGACCCACUCCAAUUUGCAUACUGCCCCAACAGAUCCACAGAUGAUGCAAUCUCUAUUGCACUCCACACUGCCCUUUCACAAAUAGACAAAAGGAACACCUAUGUGAGAAUGCUAUUCAUUGACUACAGCUCAGCAUUCAACACCAUAGUGCCCUCAAAGCUCAUCACUAAGCUAAGGACCCUGGGACUAAACACCUCCCUCUGCAACUGGAUCCUGAACUUCCUGACGGGACGCCCCCAGGUGGUAAGGAGCUAAUGGUGGGAGGCUUCGGCAUCUCAGACCCCGUAACGGGAGGAGUAGAGACCAGAGAAGGCUCGGCCUCUGACUCCGCCUUGCUGCUAAAUGGGGAGAACCAGUUGAAAGUUUCUGUUGGCUGAAUGAGCGACACCGGUUGAGCAUUCCUACAGUAUUUCCUUCCAGAAGCCAUGAGAAAGUUGUCCGGCUGUGGGGAUCGUGCAAAGGGAUUUAUACUACUAUCUGUACUUACUGGUGGCACGGAUGCUGUUUCAUCCUUUCCUACACUGAAAUUACCCUUGCCUAAUAAUUGCGUCUGAAGCUGGGCUUGCAGCACAUAAGGCGAUCGUACAGGCGGUCAUUCUCCUGUAUAUUAUGAGUACAGCG
Molecule: long non-coding RNA, 4285 nt
Organism: Oncorhynchus tshawytscha (Chinook salmon)
Lineage: Eukaryota; Metazoa; Chordata; Actinopteri; Salmoniformes; Salmonidae
Source: Ensembl